AUAAAACAAAAAUAAAACAAACAACAAAUUAAAAAUAACACAUGACAUUGAAAAUAAAAUUAAGGACUAAACUACUUCAUUCUAGAAGAAAAAAUAAGAAACUUCUCGAAAAAAAAUUCAGCUGUGUGCUUCCCUAAAAUUUCAAACUGGAAAAGAAAAGAAAAAAAAAACAAAAUAAACAAAAUAAAACUUUCAGCCGUGACCCUUCUGACGUGACACCCAUGUGUCGUGAUGAAAAUAUCAUUUCCAAGAAUUUC
This 257-nucleotide long non-coding RNA is filed under the name Vigna radiata. RNAcentral describes it as "long non-coding RNA (VRAD_LNC012940)". Lineage: Eukaryota; Viridiplantae; Streptophyta; Magnoliopsida; Fabales; Fabaceae. The record is from RNAcentral.